UUCCAGACUCCUACGGGAGGCAGCAGUGGGGAAUAUUGCACAAUGGGGGAAACCCUGAUGCAGCGACGCCGCGUGAGUGAAGAAGUAUUUCGGUAUGUAAAGCUCUCUCAGCAGGGAAGAAAAUGACGGUACCUGACUAAGAAGCCCCGGCUAACUACGUGCCAGCAGCCGCGGUAAUACGUAGGGGGCAAGCGUUAUCCGGAUUUACUGGGUGUAAAGGGAGCGUAGACGGCAUGGCAAGUCAGAUGUGAAAGCCCGGGGCUCAACCCCGGGACUGCAUUUGAAACUGUCAGGCUGGAGUGCAGGAGAGGUAAGUGGAAUUCCUAGUGUAGCGGUGAAAUGCGUAGAUAUUAGGAGGAACACCAGUGGCGAAGGCGGCUUUCUGGACUGAAACUGACGCUGAGGCACGAAAGCGUGGGGAGCGAACAGGAUUAGAUACCCCCGUAA
Molecule: ribosomal RNA, 447 nt
Filed under: uncultured bacterium
Lineage: Bacteria
Description: partial 16S ribosomal RNA
Rfam family: Bacterial small subunit ribosomal RNA
Source: RNAcentral